RNAcentral lists this long non-coding RNA (5596 nucleotides) under Homo sapiens (human). RNAcentral's name for it is "HSALNT0023560". Lineage: Eukaryota; Metazoa; Chordata; Mammalia; Primates; Hominidae. The record is from RNAcentral.
UAUAAGUAGAGUAUAUGGAUGUUUAUUGCACUAUUUUUUCAACCUCUAUAAUUUUGAAAUUUUCACAAUAAAAAGUUGGGGACAAAAUUUUUAAAAUAAUAAUAACAGCACUUAUUCUCUACCUGGGACUGUACUAAAGGAUUUUUGUGCAUUUCAAAUUUAAUCCUUGAAACAACAAUACAAGGUAGUUAUAAUUAUUACCAUAGUUUUUCCUGACAAUGAAACUAAGGUACAGGGAAGUUAGGUGGUUUUCACAAAGUUACACGGAUAAUUCUAUCAAUGACAGGUGAGAUUCAAAUUGAGUAUAUCUAACUUGGAAUCCGUGUUCUGAAUAACAAAAGUAUAUUGACUCCUGAGCAUUCAAAGGAAAUAUUUCAAGUUCAGAAAAGUCAUUUUUCUAGGUCUUGAUAACCUCAAUCUUUAUUCUAAAGACCAAGCAGCGUGCGAGGUGAACCCAGAGAGAUGAAAACCCUAAUUCAAGACCCCAGAUGACAAGGCCACAUACCAUAAUGGUAGUCCAGGGCAUCUGCCUACUUGCAGGACCAGAUUCACUGUGUUCUUACAUCAAGAAACCUUUGCACUGGCUUGGUCUGUUUCCAGGAACUGGAACCAAUGGUUUUCUCCAGACACCCACAGGCAACGAGCCAACACUAAUAAUUUCAAAUAUAACUGGCUCUUAAGCCAGGUUUUAUUUCAACUCACUUCUCUCAUUGGCUAUAGAAUGACGAGGAUGAUGACAGCCACUAUUUAUUGAACCCUUAUUGUUUAUGUGCCACACACUAAGUUCUCUUCAUAUAGCACCUAGCUUAAUUAUUUCAACAACUCUGGGAGGCAUGUUCUAGAAGAAAAAUGAAACACAGACACUGAAAAUAGUAUGUAGGGCUGAGAUAAGACAAUUCCAGAAUAGUUACUUCUCACCACUGCAUGGCAGAGUGAGAGGUGCCAUCCCCAGAGAGCUCGUGUAUACUGGAACUAAGCAGAAUGGCCAUGAGCUCCUGGGUAGCAGCCACUUCAUCAUAUUCCCCACUGGGAACCAGAUGAAGGGAUGGCAUCAGGGGGGACAUUCUUACCCACUGGACACCUUCUGGGCUGGCAUCUGAUGAAGCCCUUUAAAGUCCACUAUCUUGUUCAAGGUGCAGGACCACACCGGAGCCAAUCAUUAUUACCUCCAUUUCACAGAGAAGAAAAUGACACUCAGGAAACUUAAGUGAUUUAUCCAGAGUCUCACAGUUAUGAAGUGGUUUCUGCUAUGUAAAAAACUUAAUAAAUGUUGGCUAAAUGAAAGCACGAAUGAAUGUAUAAACAUACAUAUAAUUUCAUAAAUUUAGAAACACAUGUUUUGUAAGCCAUACAUAUUUAUUCACCAAAGAAAAACUAUGGCCCGAACGCCCAAGGAUCCCCUGUCAAUAGAGGUAGCCCUGACGCUGAGGCCUGCAGGGAAUACCUGGCAGAAAGGAGGGAGGGAGCUGAGGAGGCCAACAGGAAGAAAGAAAAAGGACCUAGGGCCAAAUCCACAGAUCUGAGCAGGCACAAGAAAUCCAAGGCAACACCAACUCACCACAAGAAAUCAGAAUCUAGACUAGAGCACAGGGCAGGUGAAAAAAGGAGGACUUUUGAGCAGUGAUUCUGUUCAUGAGGAGGGUCUGGGAUAUAGUUCAAGAUGCCUGGUCUGGGCCACAGGGCCUGAUGGCUCAGGCAGAAACUAGAAUGUGAAGGGAGCUAAGGAAAAGGAGGCUGGACGGGGUGAUAUAGUUUGGCUGUGUCCCCACUCAAAUCUCAUCUUGAAUUGUAGUUCCCAUAAUUUCCACGUGUUGUGGGUGGGACCCAGUGGGAGACAACUGAAUCAUGGAGGUGGUUUUCCCCAUACUGUUCUUGUGGUAGUGAAUAAGUCUCACGAGAUCUGAUGAUUUUAUAAAGGGAACAUACUUUUGCUUGGUGUUCAUUUUCUCUCGUCUGCCACCAUGUAAGAUGUGACUUUUGCCUUCUGCCAUGAUUGUGAGGCCUCCCCAGCCACAUGGAUCUGUGAGUCCAUUAAACCUCUUUUUCUUUAUAAAUUACCCAGUCUCAGGUACAUCUUUAUCAGCAGCAUGAAAAUGGACUAAUACACGGGGCAACCUACCCCUGACUGGUCACUUUGGAAAACCAGGUGAAGAGAGCUCCCCCUGAGCUAAUUUGGAAAAGGCACCUGCUCUGGGUGGACAAAGGUACAAGACUCUGUAAAGAGAGCUCAGGUCAGAUUCUGGUCCCAACUUGUUCCCUCAGCCAGGAAUCUUUGGGCAGUGCACAAACCAUACAACUGUAUGAAGCAGACUUGAAGUUAAGCAGGUAGUUGGAGAAUCUGCAUCAGAUACCUCUUUGCCCCACUGCAGAGCCUCUGGACCUCACCUGUCUCUCAUUCCAGCUGUGUGGAUUUUGACCUCCUACAGACACAACCUGACUGCACCAAACCUCCGGCCCCAGUUCUUCUAUUGACAGAGGCCUCCUCCCCACUCCCCCACCAGAUGCCCAGACAAUGCAGGUGCAGCUCACAGGGCAGGGGUAGAACAUGCCCUCCUAUUAGCUCUUUCUAUGCUUGGUGCCCCACGUCCCUCGCUCCUGCUGAGAUUGAACUCCAUAAUAAAGUAAUAGCACCUGUGUCCUCCAUCUCUUACUUUGCUUUCUGGAAGCCUGCACUAAGGUAGAAUCAAUGGAAGCCAUGGGCCCACCCAGAAAAGUGCACAUACAAGCAGAAACUGGUACGGGUUCUCAGCGGGUUUGUGGCUCCCCUGAAGGCCAGUUUAAAAACCUCAGCCUUGAGGAGAAAGGUAGAAGUUACAGUUCCUGAGCAGAAGCAUGUUAGCUUUUUCUUACUCCUGGACACACCCCAGCUCUCUGAUUCUGAGGGUACUCAAGAAUUGAGCAUGGAGAAGGGAGCUCAACACAGCAGAGUGCAGCCUUCACUCACUUACCAGAAGCCCAAGCCUAGCCAGAGUGAGGCAGCCGUCAGAUUACUGAAGAACUAGAUGAAGAUUUAAAACGGAUUCCGAGAUGAGAGAGGGUAUUUCACCCCCACCACUCUCUGGGUUUUGAGCAGCCAUCUCCUAAUCUCUGCUUAUAUAGUCUUUUCACAAAAAGUCCUUUGCAUCUUAGCAAGAAGCAACAAAAUUGCUCUAUAAGAUAAACAAAAGGUUAAUUACAAAACCCUGCGUACUCCAGAAGCCCACAGGCAAGAACAGCUAUUUAUUUCCCCAGCUCACAGCUCUGUCUGCCCUGCUGCAGGUGUCUGUCCAAUGCAUGCAGCCAUCUGAAUCACUGCACCUGCUCCCACCACACAGCAAAAGAAAAUACCACCUGGGAUUUGGACAGUUUCCCAUAAAGCAUUCCAAAGUGAGUAUUCCAAAGACAGAAACAUUUGCCCUUUUGGAGACCUUGAAAGGAACCUUGGCAGUUCUCCCCAUUGUCUUCUAAGGAGGGAAGAAGAAUCCCUCAGACUGAUGCCCCAUCUGUGAUGAAUAUGCGUUCAAGAAGCUGGAGGAAACCACUAGCAAUUGCUGCAUGCACAUGUGCUGUGGAUGAACAGCUGCUUUUCACCAGCCCAGCUCCUCUGAAACUUCCCAUUGCAAAGGGAGCCACCAGACCCUGCACUUCCAGCACCACAAGCCAGCGCCAGCAGCAGUACAUGUCACAGGAGCCUCAUCAGAAAGUCGAAUCUGGCAGAGCUGUCUUCUGCCUGUAUCUCCAAUCCCAAUGACAAUCAGAACUAGGUGUGUGGCAAACAGGUGCUGAAAACCUCAGCCCCCAGAGUAUAAAGCAGCCCUCCUGACAUUUGCUGGAUUAGGGAUGAAUGCAUCUGGAAAUUGAGACAAUCAGGAAGCUAAUGUCACAUUUCCAGAUUUUCUGAAAACCUAAGCUGUGGGUGUUUAGUGAAACAAUGACGCAUUGUAAUAGGAAGCAUCAGCAACACUUUGCUGUGGUAAACUGCAGCCUCUGUACAGUCAGGCCACGCAGCCACACAUAGUGCAUGGAAAAUUUAAUUCAAAUAUUUAUUCUACAAAGACGCAUUCAUUGACAUUUAUGGAGACAGGCGGGUGGAGCGCAGUUUUCAAAUUGUUCUACUCUGCUGGAAGACCAGUAUUCCCAGGGCAUUCUUCAUCCAACAAGUAUUAAUUGAGCACCUACUAUGUGCCAGGUGCCCAUUUCGGGUCCAUACUCAAGCUGUGAGUAGCACAAACAGGAUCCCUGCAUAUGCGGAGUUUAACUUCUACUGGGAAAAAAGACACCAGACAACAUGCAUAAGCAAAACACCUAGUAAAUUGGAGAGCAACACAUACUGAGGAAAAAGUAAUGAAGCAGGGAAAAAGGGGACAGGAUGGUCAAGGCAGGUGGGUGGGAUUUUAGAUGGAGUUUCCAAAAGUCAUCAUAAGGCCAGGCGUGGUGGCUCAUGCCUGUAAUCCCAGCACUUUGGGAGUCCAAGGAUGGUGGAUCACCUGAGGUCAGGAGUUCAAGACCAGCCUGGCCACCAUGGUGAAACCCCGUCUCUACCAAAAAAAUAUAAAAAUUAGCCAAGCAUGGUGGCACGCACCUAUAGUUCCAGCUACUCAGGAGGCUGAGGUGGGAGAAUCGCUUGAACCUGGGAGGCAGAGGCUGCAGUGAGCCAAGAUCAUGCCACUGUAACCCAUCCUGGGCAACAGAGCAAGACCCUGUCUCAAAAAAAAAAAAAAAAAGAAAUUUGUUUUUUGAAAGGAGACUCUUUGGAGGUUUGAAGGAAGAUGGAGGGACAACCACUAGGACUAUUUAGAAACAAUCUCUAGGAUGAGUGACCACAGGCAGUAAGAGAAAAGAGGGAAGAUGCUAGUGAGAGCUGGGACUGAAGGAGAGUGAGGAAUUGGUUAUGUCUUCCAGAUUUUCAACUCAAUUCAAUGAGCAGAAAUUGGCAAGUUUGAAAAGGACUUGCCCAGAGGCAAUGGUGACAUCAGGGAGUGGAAGGUCAGGAAAGUUAGAAGGUCUAGAGAGAAUUGUCAAGGAUUAAUCCUUGAGGACACCAGUAUUUUAGGGGAAGGGAGAGAAAAAGGUAACCAAGAGCAUCAGAGAUAGUCGAGGCCCUAGAGGAUGCAGAGAGCCAGCGGGGGGUCCGACCAGCCAAGGGUGUCCAGCGAUGGGCAAGAGCGAAAUCCCAUCUCUACUUAAAAAAGAUUAGCGAGGCGUGGUGGCAUGCACCUGUAGUCCUAGCUACUUGGGAGGCUGACAUGGGAGGAGCACUUCAGCCCAGGAGUUGGAGGCUGCAGUGAGCUAGGAUCACACCACUGUACUCCAGCCUCUUAAAAAAAAGGAGCAAGGGAAGCCAAGAAGAGUCCAACAAGGAGGCUCAAGUGUGAGUUCUCACAUCAGCGAUGGCAGAUGGGCAGGGGUGGCAGUCCUGGGAAUGUGGGGUCAGGACAUUUCAGAAGGGUCUAUUCUAACAGGAUAAAAAUGAACAACAGAGCCUCCAUAUUUGCCAGCCAGAAACAUGUUUCUUCUACCCUAUGAAUCAGCAAAAUGGAGUUAAAACAAAUUCUUUGCUGAGGAGCGUUUAGAGUUCAAAUAGAAAUGACUGUGAGGAACCUGUGACUGCUUCCCC